This 286-nucleotide long non-coding RNA is filed under the name Ursus americanus (American black bear). Its description in RNAcentral is "lncRNA (ENSUAMG00000004621.1)". The record is from RNAcentral. Lineage: Eukaryota; Metazoa; Chordata; Mammalia; Carnivora; Ursidae.
CUGCUGUAGCACAAAGUGUCCUUCCUCUUCUUCAGCUAAAAUUGGGGGAGGGACAAACCAAUUGUUACUAUACCCCUUGCCAUCUGCCUGCUAGAAGGCCUGUUUCCUACCCUAAUGGUUUCUGCCUAACAAAUGGUGUUUCUUUUUUACAGCAUUAUGAUCCUGGACUUGUUGUGGUGAUGGUAAACUUAGCAGUGGGAGAACAGAUCCCAUUCCGAUUGUCGUCAAGUAUGAUGUCAUGGGCAUGGGUCGCAUGGAAAUGGAGGUAAAUUGAUCUUGUUAGCUA